RNAcentral lists this long non-coding RNA (8897 nucleotides) under Sorghum bicolor (sorghum). RNAcentral describes it as "long non-coding RNA (SBIC_LNC017682)". The record is from RNAcentral. Lineage: Eukaryota; Viridiplantae; Streptophyta; Magnoliopsida; Poales; Poaceae.
CAUUGGAACCGGAGAAGUCCACAUGCAUUUCCCCUCUGAUAAGGUACGCCCCUAUUUUACUGACCCUAACUAUAUAGUUGAAGACUUUAAGCAAGUCAGGACAAGAAGAAGACGACACAACCGUAACCAGAGGAGGCAAAUCAUUAAGGACGGAUGGGCAGACUAUGAAGGAGAAGUCGUAAGGUCUGAAGACAUACAGCUUGAACAGAACUGUCCUGAGGAGACCGUAGCACCGAGUCAGGUGUGCAGAAAGAAGAUAGUUAUACACAAAGAGCAGGCUCUGCCGGAACCACCGACUAUGCCAUUCAGCAAAUCCCAGGACGACUGAGAAAACGGAGGGUCCCGUUCGGAGGACUUAAAAACACUGAACGCCUUGCCAAGAGGUAAACUUGGUAGUUAUCUUUUUCCUUUCAAUUAUUUUAAAAUAGUUUGCUUAGUUAAUCAGGUUCACAUCAUCUUGAAAAGAAAAUAAAAAUAUUAAGCCCCAUGUGGUUAUGCUCAUGGCAUAAAACCCAUAAGUACAUUCACUGUGGUGGCGUAAAAAUAAAAUAACUAUAUUCCUAUCCUAUAAAAAUAAAAUUAUAAAAAUAGAUUUAUGAUCCCACUAAAAAGAGUAAUAUUUAUUGAGGAGACUCAACAUGAUAAAGGCUAGAUAUUUAUGCUAACACUUAACUAGUUCCACAAGCUUUGUUGUCUAUUUGAGCUCCACAAAAUUCAAGGAUCAAAGAAGACUAGCAGACGGAGGACAUCCUAGUCGCCGUCACGGUGCUGCUGACAUUCAAAUAUACCUUCGCCAUCUGCUAGCUACAUCAGAAGGAAUUACGUCAAAAUCCAGCUUGGGGGAGAGCACCUCCAUUUAUCCAGCUAAGUAUUCUACUCACGUUUAUAUUUUACUCAAAUAAUAAAAAGAUGCAUAAUCGUAAAAACCCAAAUAAAGAUUUUGUGCUUAUAUAUAUAUCUUUGCUUAGUUUGCUAAAUAAAUAAAUAAAUAAAAUUUGCUAUGAACCCUCAUGAUGAGCUCUCACAUGGAAAGAUGAAUAGUUGCUCUGCCAUGACUAGUUCUCAAAAUUGAAAUCUCUCUCAAGUUUAGGCAUCACUGUUAUUAAUUAAGAUUUGCUCUAAACCUGAACUUGUGGGAAGAGUACUUGAUCUGAAGUCUAAGUCGUUAACGGAUAUGAUAUGGGAAGGUUGAGCUGCUGUUUAUCUGUUCCUAGAGAUGCUAGAAUUCUGGAGAAUUUUAUCUUUGAAAAUCUUUAAAAUAUCACAUGAUGAGUUCCUGUAUGAUGAGAGUUUAAAUUCCUACCACAGCCAUAUAUACAUGCUUGCUAGACUAUGAGCCACACAUUUACUUUUUACUGCUUAUGAGCAUUGAGUGUGGUCAAGCUUUGUAGACCCUUAGGAGCUUGUCAUGUGGUUAAGUCAAGAUUCACUUGCACGUUCACUCAUACAUGCUACUUCUACCCUGGAAGUACCAUCCACAUAUACCCAUUCCCAUCUCCAGAACCACCCAAAAAUAUUCUACUCCUAAUCCGGGAGAGAAUAGCCAAAAAUAUUUCUAUUUUUUCCCUAUGAAAUAAAUGCUCAAGUUAUCUUGUCACUACCACUUGCUAUAUUAUCUCAUGAGAUGAGUGCUCUAAAGAAAAAAGAGAAAAAAAAAGAAGAAUACGAGGAAAUAAAAAGGGGCAAUUGCCCGGAACCUCGAAAGAAAAAAAAAGAAAAAUAAGUGAGACGAGAGGUAAAAAUGGACAAGUGUCCGACAGUAGAAUUAGGGGUACAAGAUACCCACCUGAGAGAAAAGAAAAAAAGAAAAAGAAAGAAAAAAGAAAAUAUAGAGCAUCUCAUUCUCCUCAAAAAGUUUCAAAAGAGCAAGAAAGGUAUGUAUCCCCUCAAAAGAGCAUAAGUAGAAUUAGACUUUCACCAUUGUUAUCACCAUCAUCACCAUACACCAUUCAUUCGCCACACAUGCACAUCUUGAUUUGACUUAUUGACUUGUUCUUCUGGAUCCAUGGUUUGACUAUGCAAUAUAUGUCUUGUAAGUAUGUAUUAGCUGUCUCCCACCUAUGAGCUCCAGAUAUCAAAACCUUAUUAGAGUAGGGUGAGAGAGAAGGCAAUGUCACUAUGCCUUAUACCACAAAUACCACAUACUUUGAGAGAAGGCAUAUACCAUUACUGCCUUGGUAAGGAUCCAGAAAUACCACAAAAGAGAGAGUAGAGAGAGUCAUACAAGGAAUCUCUGAGUUUUAUUUGAAAAUCUGCAAAAACUCCAGAGCUAUAGUUAAUCGAAAAACAAGAGACAUGGUGCUUGACUAGACUGUUCUAUCUUUUAACUACUAAAGACAGAAGUGAUGGUUACAAGUCCCAUGGUGAAAGGUAAAUGAGUAAGUUUUAAGUCUUAACAGUUUACUCUAACCAGAGAUGAGAUCUUGUUUAAACACAUGUGUAUCUUUAAGUUAUGAAACCACUGCAGAAACUCUUGAGUCCAUCUUUGCUUAGGGACGAGCAAAGGUUAAGCUUGGGGGAGCUUGUUGACGGUCCUUAAUGCUCACAUUUAACCAUAAACUAAUCAUGGAAAAGGAUCCAAAUGCAACCAACACCUAGACUUAGGGUUUUAUCUGACAGAAUUCCACGAGUUUUGGUGUUUGUCUAUUUCUGCAGGGGGUUAUCAGGAAAUACGGAAGAAAGGCCCACACAUCGGGUUUACAUAGAGAUAUUAACGUGCCGCGUAAUUUUCUAUCAUCUAGAAGACUCCAGAAGCCACGGGACCGAACGGAAGACGUAACGGAGCCGGGCACUGGGCGCCCGCCCUCCCCCCUGGACCAAUCAGGGCGAAGUUCGGGGAUCAUGCUCCACCGACCUAAUACUUCAAGGAAAACCACACGAUCAAUGUCGGUUUGAUCCGACGGCCCAGAUUCACUUGAAGGGACUAUAAAACCAGACCCCCCUAGCCCCUGGAGAUCGUACCUCUUCUACAGAAUCAAAGCUAGGGUUUCAAUUCUUCAUCCAAGUAGAGAGGAUCCCUCUAGUUCUUCUAGUUCUACCUCUAGUUCAUCUAGAUCUAGUUCUAGUUCAUCUAGUUCUAGUUCUAGUUUCUCUAGUUCUAGUUCUAGUUAGUUCUAGUUGUAAUCUAGAAAAUAGGCAGAGAGAAGAGGAGAGCAGAGGAGGAGCCGGAUCUGUCGGAUCUUCCUCAACAUUAUACUUUUGCAGCAUCUGGUUCGUUCUUCAUCGUUCUCCAGGUUCUUCAAUUCAUAAUUCCUGAGUUCUUUAAUUACUUUUAAGUUAUUUAUUGGAUUCCCGCUUGCAUCAAGUGCUCUAGUCUUUAUAACGCUAGAGUAGUAAUUAAUAGAUUAGACGUGGUGUUUAGUCUUGCGAUUACCUGGAAUUGCACCCAAUCCCACGGAUUGUUGUGGUAGCCCUAGGGUAGUGACAGCCCUAACGGUCGACGUAUUCGACCACGUUCGGAUCGGUGUUUGUAGGACCGUAGUCAGACCUUCCUAGCCCCCUUCUCAUCUCUUUCUGUGGUUAGUGCUCUGAUGUCCCGAUAUAAAUAAUCUUUGAAGUAAUUCUUGAUUCUUAGAUCAACUAGAGAACUCUCAGGAAACUUCCUCUGUUCCCACCAAAAAUAAUCAUAUAGUUAUCCUUGGGCGAUCUUGGAUCUUAAUUAGUACACUCACGUUCCCUGUGGAAAAUCGAUACUCUGGAAUACUCCCGGGUGAAAGCUACAUCGGUAUCCGUGCGCUUGCGGAUUUUUCUGUUUGCGUUUAAAAUACCCAACAAGCUUUCUGGCGCCGUUGCCGGGGAACGGUAGCUGUACUAGUUUCGAACAAAGUCGUCCGUGUAUCCUUUUUCUUUUCCUUUUUCACCACACUCACCUUAUCAUUUUCACCAUACCACAUGGAUUUCACUCUAAGCAUUAAUGAGCAUGGAAUUUAUUUCAUAGCCACUUCAUUUACUCCAUGCUCAUAUGCAACAUCUUCACAAUCCAUUGGUUUUUCCAACACCACCACAUUCGAGAUCUCCAACCCCCUCAUCCUUUCUAUUUAUAAAAACUUUAAAAGGGCGGUUGUCGAUGCAUAUGUCUAUAAUAAAUUUUGCAGAUCUCAUUGAGUUGAUCUUGAUAUAGGUCAGCGUGGGAGGGGAAACCACUUCGCCGACAUAAAUUGAUGGUUUCCCAAGGACAAGCUUAGUGUCCUAAAAUAAGCACUGAUCAGACCGUAACAUGAGCUUUUAAUUAUUUGCAACAUUACCUUGUGUGUUGCGCAUAUAAGAAUAAUUGUAAAAAUAUUCCUUUGGAUAUUCUUGUCACUAACCUUUCUAGGAUUGGAGCAAGAAGAUCGGAUGAAUGACAAGCACAAGGUAUGUCCAACCAAUCAUCAUACAACAUUGAAUUAAAUUCAUCCAAACUUGAAUUUUGCAAAAUUCAAGCUUGGGGGAGACUUUACAUGAAACAUCCUUUGCCAUGUUGCUAUGUUGGUUGUCCCUACCUUUGAGACAUGCUCAAUUUGUUAAAUACUAAUCACACUACUUCAUCUCCACUUGAGUAGAACUCUAUAAAUGCUCUCAUGCUACCUUUAUUUGCUUUAGUAUAUGUCUAGGUUUGGAGUCGUUUCAUUUAUCUCUUAAUUAAGCAUGGUGCUUAGUUUAGGGCUGAUGAUCUUAUUUCCGAGGGAGUUUAAAUUAAGCAUGAUGCUUAGGUUAAAAUGCCCUCCUAAAUCAAAUUAGACAUGGUGUCUAGGUUGAUCUUUGAGCCGAUAGUAUGCUAUAGUAAACAUUGGAUAUUUUGUUGGACUAACCCCUGCAGGAAAACUUUCAAUAUCGACCUGGGAAGUCCUGAGACAAACUCACAUUGGAGAUAAAGAGAGAGGCACAUGAAGUUUAACAAUUUACACAAGGAAGGCAUAGGUCACAAGAGAUGAUCCCUGGAGGGUGCCACAAACACGAUGCACAACCGCUAAGAGAGGAAAGCUUCCACAAGGUGAUACUGUACCAUCACUCUUCAAGUAAGGUAACAUCUUAAUGUACUUGACUAUCACUUUUAUAAGCUUCUCCUUAUUUCUGGCAUUCACAUGAAUAAAAGAGACAAACAUGUAUGAUCUACAACUCUAGAUUAACCAAACCAAUCGAUUCAAUAUGUUUAGUCCUUCCACCGUUGUGAUCCCACACUCCUAAUCAUAUGAGCUAAAAUGUUGCACAUGCAAUCUUUGGAAGAUAUAUAUAAAAAAACAACAUAAGUAUAGAUAGAUUAUCUUUCCAUUAGGUUGAGUGAUCUGAUCUGACAAAUGUUUUAAAUGUUACACUCAUGGUCUUAUUAUCCAUCAACUUUGUCUUGCUCACUAUGCUUAAGGUUUGAGAGAACAAAUACACUUUUGGUUUUGUUGGUAUUUUCCACCAACAGGGCCCAUACACUUGAUCUCUGCCUUGUCUCUAUGAGCAGGUACACUUCAAGCAAAAUAUGAAGGAGUUUUACAACUCCUAGACUCCACCAAGUGAAGAACCUAGAUCUACGAGCACAAACACACUGGAGAUACUGGACACUCAGGCAAUCACUGCCCUGAGAUGCUUAAGGACGCUACUACUGGAGUAACCCCGUUGUGGAUGUAAUUACUGACCUUCUGCCGGUCAAGAGAGACAAUCUAGGAUGCCCCAUCAUCCCGAUCUCCAUCGGCAUGCUUGCAGAUCGUACGCUAAGUUUCCCAAAGAGAAUAUUGAAGAACCUCUACGUCUGAGUUGGUACCUUAUACGCUCCAGCAGACUUCGUGGUGAUAGAGACUGAUACUGAUGAGAGGGCACCCAUCAUCUUAGGGAGGCCAUUCCUAAACACCUCAGGACCUGUCAUCUACGCUAGUGCUGCCAAGAUCAGUUUCUACAUCACGGGGAGGAAGGAGAUGUUUUCCUUCAAGAACAAGACACACAAAUCUCAGAGCAAUCCUGACAUGAACCAAGGAAGAGGACCAACACGAGGAACAGAAACAAGCAAAUGUGGACCGAGUCAGCUAAGAUGGUCACUGCAAUUCAAGGAGGUCAAGACCAUCAACUCAAGUCGCCUUUCUUGAUCAAGAAGGAUGACCCUGGUGUUCCAAGCAUCGAGUGCACAAUCAACGGAUAUUCUUUUCAGAAGACACUCUACGACACUGGAUCUGACGUCAACAUAAUGGUCGCAGUCACCUAUCAACUCCUGUUCGGAACCAUGCCCCUAAAACCGACAUACAUUCAACUCCAGAUGGCAGAUCAGACAUUCCGAAAGGUUAUUGACAUGAGAGAAGACGAGUACAAUCCACCCAUCAUCCUUGGAAGACCGUUCCUCAGCACUGUUAAAGCAAUCAUCUACAUUGGAACCGGAGAAGUCCACAUGCAUUUCCCCUCUGAUAAGGUACGCCACUAUUUUACUGACCCUAACUAUAUAGUUGAAAACUCUAAGUAGGUCAGGACAAGAAGAAGACGACACAACCGUAACCAGAGGAGGCAAAUCAUCAAGGACGGAUGGGCAGACUAUGAAGGAGAAGUCGUAAGGUCUGAAGACAUACAGCUUGAACAGAACUGUCCUGAGGAGACCGUAGCACCGAGUCAGGUGUGCAGAAAGAAGAUAGUUAUACACAAAGAGCAGGCUCUGCCGGAACCACCGACUAUGCCAUUCAGCAAAUCCCAGGACGACUGAGAAAACGGAGGGUCCCGUUCGGAGGACUUAAAAACACCGAACGCCUUGCCAAGCGGUAAACUUGGUAGUUAUCUUUUUCCUUUCAAUUAUUUUAAAAUAGUUUGCUUAGUUAAUCAGGUUCACAUCAUCUUGAAAAGAAAAUAAAAAUAGUAAGCCCCAUGUGGUUAUGCUCAUGGCAUAAAACCCAUAAGUACAUUCACUGUGGUGGCGUAAAAAUAAAAUAAAUAUAUUCCUGUCCUAUAAAAAUAAAAUUAUAAAAAUAGAUUUAUGAUCCCACUAAAAAGAGUAAUAUUUAUUGAGGAGACUCAACAUGAUAAAGGCUAGAUAUUUAUGCUAACACUUAACUAGUUCCACAAGCUUUGUUGUCUAUUUGAGCUCCACAGAAUUCAAGGAUCAAAGAAGACUAGCAGACGGAGGACAUCCUAGUCGCCGUCAGGGUGCUGCUGACAUUCAAAUAUACCUUCGCCACCUGCUAGCUACAUCAGAAGGAAUUACGUCAAAAUCCAGCUUGGGGGAGAGCACCUCCAUUUAUCCAGCUAAGUAUUCUACUCACGUUUAUAUUUUACUCAAAUAAUAAAAAGAUGCAUAAUCGUAAAAACCCAAAUAAAGAUUUUUUGCUUAUAUAUAUAUCUUUGCUUAGUCUGCUAAAUAAAUAAAUAAAUAAAAUUUGCUAUGAACCCUCAUGAUAAGCUCUCACAUGGAAAGAUGAAUAGUUGCUCUGCCAUGACUAGUUCUCAAAAUUGAAAUCUCUCUCAAGUUUAGGCAUCACUGUUAUUAAUUAAGAUUUGCUCUAAACCUGAACUUGUGGGAAGAGUACUUGAUCUGAAGUCUAAGUCAUUAACGGAUAUGAUAUGGGAAGGUUAAGCUGUUGUUUAUCUGUUCCUAGAGAUGCUAGAAUUCUGGAGAAUUUUAUCUUUGAAAAUCUUUAAAAUAUCACAUGAUGAGUUCCUGUAUGAUGAGAGUUUAAAUUCCUACCACAGCCAUAUAUACAUGCUUGCUAGACUAUGAGCCACACAUUUACUUUUUACUGCUUAUGAGCAUUGAGUGUGGUCAAGCUUUGUAGACCCUUAGGAGCUUGUCAUGUGGUUAAGUCAAGAUUCACUUGCACGUUCACUCAUACAUGCUACUUCUACUCUGGAAGUACCAUCCACAUAUACCCAUUUCCAUCUCCAGAACCACCCAAAAAUAUUCUACUCCUAAUCCGGGAGAGAAUAGCCAAAAAUAUUUCUAUUUUUUCCCUGUGAAAUAAAUGCUCAAGUUAUCUUGUCACUACCACUUGCUAUAUUAUCUCAUGAGAUGAGUGCUCUAAAGAAAAAAGAUAAAAAAAGAAGAAUACGAGGAAAUAAAAAGGGGCAAUUGCCCGGAACCUCGAAAGAAAAAAAAGAAGAAAAAGUGAGACGAGAGGUAAAAAUGGACAAGUGUCCGACAGUAGAAUUAGGGGUACAAGAUACCCACCUGAGAGAAAAGAGAAAAAGAAAUAUAGAGCAUCUUAUUCUCCUCAAAAAGUUUCAAAAGAGCAAGAAAGGUAUGUAUCCCCUCAAAAGAGCAUAAGUAGAAUUAGACUUUCACCAUUGUUAUCACCAUCAUCACCAUACACCAUUCAUUCGCCACACAUGCACAUCUUGAUUUGACUUAUUGACUUGUUCUUCUGGAUCUAUGGUUUGACUAUGCAAUAUAUGUCUUGUAAGUAUGUAUUAGCUGUCUCCCACCUAUGAGCUCCAGGUAUCAAAACCUUAUUAGAGUAGGGUGAGAGAGAAGGCAAUGUCACUAUACCUUAUACCACAAAUACCACAUACUUUGAGAGAAGGCAUAUACCAUUACUGCCUUGGUAAGGAUCUAGAAAUACCACAAAAGAGAGACUAGAGAGAGUCAUACAAGGAAUCUCUGAGUUUUAUUUGAAAAUCUGCAAAAACUCCAGAGCUAUAGUUAAUCGAAGAACAAGAGACAUGGUGCUUGACUAGACUGUUCUAUCUUUUAACUACUCAAGACAGAAGUGAUGGUUACAAGUCCCAUGGUGAAAGGUAAAUGAGUAAGUUUUAAGUCUUAACAGUUUACUCUAACCAGAGAUGAGAUCUUGUUUAAACGCAUGUGUAUCUUUAAGUUAUGAAACCACUGCAGAAACUCUUGAGUCCAUCUUUGCUCAGGGACGAGCAAAGGUUAAGCUUGGGGGAGCUUGUUGACGGUCCUUAAUGCUCACAUUUAACCAUCAACUAAUCAUGGAAAAGGAUCCAAAUGCAACCAACAC